AAAAAAAAGAUAAAAAA
RNAcentral lists this small RNA (17 nucleotides) under Arabidopsis thaliana (thale cress). RNAcentral describes it as "ATSL114290". Lineage: Eukaryota; Viridiplantae; Streptophyta; Magnoliopsida; Brassicales; Brassicaceae. The record is from RNAcentral.